AGCGGAUGGAGCAACAGAACGGAAGAGAGGAGCGGUGUAGUUUGUUUUUUUGCUUUUGAUAGCAGAGAGAGCGGUGGGGAUGGAGAUGAAUGUUAAGUUUUUAGGUGGAGGUAAAGCUCCUCUGCCCUGCUUCCUCCUAUGCGGCUGUAGGAGAUCGAGCGAGGAAAUAAUCAGUUGAGACUUGAGAAUGAUUGGCAGAAUAAAACGCAAGGAAUUGUGGUGGUGGAACUCGGGUGAAGACUGAAGAAAAGAGAAACAUGAGGAUUUUUGUAGCACCUUUCACACAAGCGGUUUGGGGAGGCAGUGAACAAUAAAGAAAAUGCAAUUUUUAUGUGCAAAGAUCCCGCUGAAAGUAACACCACGUUGCAGACAUUUUACUAAGCUGGAACUCAUAUGCCGGCACUUCGCCAAAACGCGGUCAUGCUCCACCCAAGGUUGCAAUUUUCAGUGCCUGAAUUUUUUGUUGGCCAAACUGUUAGAACAAAACCUGGAAGUAUUUGUUGGAAUUAUGCCCUAGAGGCAAUAAUAAAUAUAGUUAUUAUUAUAAUUCCUG
This 553-nucleotide long non-coding RNA is filed under the name Hordeum vulgare. RNAcentral's name for it is "long non-coding RNA (HVUL_LNC019571)". The record is from RNAcentral. Lineage: Eukaryota; Viridiplantae; Streptophyta; Magnoliopsida; Poales; Poaceae.